Molecule: transfer RNA, 113 nt
Filed under: Daphnia magna
Lineage: Eukaryota; Metazoa; Arthropoda; Branchiopoda; Diplostraca; Daphniidae
Rfam family: tRNA
About the family: Transfer RNA (tRNA) molecules are approximately 80 nucleotides in length. Their secondary structure includes four short double-helical elements and three loops (D, anti-codon, and T loops).
Source: Rfam by way of RNAcentral
GCUCCAGUGGCGCAGUUGGUUAGCGCAUGGUACUUAUAUGACAGUAUUGUAUGAGUUGAUCAAAAGAUACGUGAGAAAUGCCGAGGUCGCGAGUUCGAGCCUCGCCUGGAGCA